RNAcentral lists this ribosomal RNA (618 nucleotides) under Phlebia sp. FB1A2. Its description in RNAcentral is "eukaryotic LSU rRNA". The stretch from base 217 to 370 matches the Rfam family "5.8S ribosomal RNA". Lineage: Eukaryota; Fungi; Basidiomycota; Agaricomycetes; Polyporales; Meruliaceae. The record is from RNAcentral.
CGGAGGAUCAUUAACGAGUUUUGAAAUGGGUUGUAGCUGGCCUAAAAAAAUAAAGGCAUGUGCACACCCUGCUCAUCCACUCUCAUACCCCUGUGCACUUAUUGUAGGCUUGGUGGGACGAGUCUGACUUCGGUUGGACUUUGAAAGCCUUGCCUACGUUUUAUUACAAACGCUUCAGUUAAAGAAUGUAACCUCGCGUUUAACGCAUUUAAAUACAACUUUCAGCAACGGAUCUCUUGGCUCUCGCAUCGAUGAAGAACGCAGCGAAAUGCGAUAAGUAAUGUGAAUUGCAGAAUUCAGUGAAUCAUCGAAUCUUUGAACGCACCUUGCGCUCCUUGGUAUUCCGAGGAGCAUGCCUGUUUGAGUGUCAUGGUAUUCUCAACCUUCAAAACUUUUGUGAUGAAGGCUUGGAUUUGGAGGUCGUGUCGGCGCGAGUCGACUCCUCUGAAAUGCAUUAGCGUGAAUCUUACGGAUCGCCUUCAGUGUGAUAAUUGUCUACGCUGUGGUGUUGAAGUAUUUGAGUGUUCGUGCUUACAAUCGUCCGCUAGGACAAUGUUACUUGACAAUCUGACCUCAAAUCAGGUAGGACUACCCGCUGAACUUAAGCAUAUCAAUAAG